GUCCCGCCUGCCCUGUGACAUAAGUUUAACGGCCGCGGUAUUUUGACCGUGCAAAGGUAGCGCAAUCACUUGUCUUUUAAAUGGAGACCUGUAUGAAUGGCAUAACGAGGGCUUAGCUGUCUCCUUUCUCCUGUCAAUGAAAUUGAUCUCCCCGUGCAGAAGCGGGGAUACGACCAUAAGACGAGAAGACCCUGUGGAGCUUUAGACACUAAGGCAGCCUCCGUCAAAAAGGCUCACACGCCUAAAACCUUACCCUGCCUCAUUGUCUUUGGUUGGGGCGACCGCGGAGUACUAUUUAACCUCCAUGUGGAACAAGAGUACCUUCUCUUACAACCGAGAGCUUCGGCUCCAAGUAACAGAACUUCUGACCAAAAAUGAUCCGGCGAAGCCGAUCAACGAACCGAGUUACCCCAGGGAUAACAGCGCAAUCCUCUUUUAGAGCCCAUAUCGACAAGGGGGUUUACGACCUCGAUGUUGGAUCAGGACAUCCUAAUGGUGCAGCCGCUAUUAAGGGUUCGUUUGUUCAACGAUUAAAG
Molecule: ribosomal RNA, 536 nt
Filed under: Axoclinus nigricaudus (Cortez triplefin)
Lineage: Eukaryota; Metazoa; Chordata; Actinopteri; Blenniiformes; Tripterygiidae
Description: partial 16S ribosomal RNA
Rfam family: Bacterial large subunit ribosomal RNA
Source: RNAcentral